ACUGAACGCUGGCGGCAUGGCUAAAGCAUGCAAGUCGAACGAGCCCGCAAGGGCAAGUGGCGGACGGGUUAGUAAUGCGAUCGAACGUACCCAGAGGUGGGGGAUAGCGGUGGGAAACUGCCGGUAAUACCCCAUGUGCUCCUCGGAGGAAAGGUUUACCACCUUUGGAUCGGCGAUCGUCCUAUCAGGUAGUUGGCGGGGUAAAAGCCCACCAAGCCGAAGACGGGUAGCGGGUGUGAGAGCACGGCCCGCAACAUCGGAACUGAGAAACUGUCCGGACUCCUACGGGAGGCUGCAGCAACGAAUCUUCCGCAAUGGGCGCAAGCCUGACGGAGCAAUGCCGCGUGUGGGAUGAAGUGCCUCCGGCAUGUAAACCACUGUCAGAAAGCAGAAACACUGAUUGCUUUCAAAGGAAGUGGCGACUAACUCUGUG
This 433-nucleotide ribosomal RNA is filed under the name uncultured bacterium. Its description in RNAcentral is "bacterial SSU rRNA". It matches the Rfam family "Bacterial small subunit ribosomal RNA", at positions 30 to 507 of the family's 1533-position model. The record is from RNAcentral.